Molecule: ribosomal RNA, 902 nt
Filed under: uncultured bacterium
Lineage: Bacteria
Description: bacterial SSU rRNA
Rfam family: Bacterial small subunit ribosomal RNA
Source: RNAcentral
AGAGUUUGAUCAUGGCUCAGGACGAACGCUGGCGGCGUGCUUAACACAUGCAAGUCGAGCGGAAAUAUAUUGAAGAUUCGUCGGAUAUAUAUUUUAGCGGCGGACGGGUGAGUAACGCGUGGGCAAUCUGCCUCACACAGGGGAAUAACACUGGGAAACUAGUGCUAAUACCGCAUAAUAUAACGAAGCGGCAUCGCUUUGUUAUCAAAGGAGCAAUCCGGUGUGAGAUGAGCCCGCGUCCGAUUAGCUAGUUGGUGGGGUAACGGCCCACCAAGGCGACGAUCGGUAGCCGAACUGAGAGGUUGAUCGGCCACAUUGGGACUGAGACACGGCCCAGACUCCUACGGGAGGCGGCAGUGGGGAAUAUUGCGCAAUGGGGGAAACCCUGACGCAGCAACGCCGCGUGAAGGAUGAAGGUUUUCGGAUUGUAAACUUCUUUGAUUGGGGACGGUAAUGACGGUACCCAAAAAACAAGCCACGGCUAACUACGUGCCAGCAGCCGCGGUAAUACGUAGGUGGCAAGCGUUGUCCGGAAUUACUGGGUGUAAAGGGCGUGUAGGCGGGGAUGCAAGUCAGAUGUGAAAUUCUGGGGCUCAACCCCAGCGCUGCAUCUGAAACUGUAUCUCUUGAGUGCUGGAGAGGAAAGCGGAAUUCCUAGUGUAGCGGUGAAAUGCGUAGAUAUUAGGAGGAACACCUGUGGCGAAGGCGGCUUUCUGGACAGUAACUGACGCUGAGGCGCGAAAGCGUGGGGAGCGAACAGGAUUAGAUACCCUGGUAGUCCACGCCGUAAACGAUGGAUACUAGGUGUAGGAGGUAUCGACCCCUUCUGUGCCGGAGUUAACACAAUAAGUAUCCCACCUGGGGAGUACGGCCGCAAGGUUGAAACUCAAAUGAAUUGACGG